This 322-nucleotide ribosomal RNA is filed under the name Paenibacillus tundrae. RNAcentral describes it as "bacterial SSU rRNA". It matches the Rfam family "Bacterial small subunit ribosomal RNA", at positions 1 to 309 of the family's 1533-position model. The record is from RNAcentral. Lineage: Bacteria; Bacillati; Bacillota; Bacilli; Caryophanales; Paenibacillaceae.
UUAUUGGAGAGUUUGAUCCUGGCUCAGGACGAACGCUGGCGGCAUGCCUAAUACAUGCAAGUCGAGCGGACUUGAUGAGAAGCUUGCUUCUCUGAUGGUUAGCGGCGGACGGGUGAGUAACACGUAGGCAACCUGCCCUCAAGCUUGGGACAACUACCGGAAACGGUAGCUAAUACCGAAUACUUGUUUUCUUCGCCUGAAGGAAACUGGAAAGAUGGAGCAAUCUAUCACUUGAGGAUGGGCCUGCGGCGCAUUAGCUAGUUGGUGAGGUAACGGCUCACCAAGGCGACGAUGCGUAGCCGACCUGAGAGGGUGAUCGGCC